RNAcentral lists this ribosomal RNA (334 nucleotides) under Wolbachia pipientis. Its description in RNAcentral is "bacterial SSU rRNA". It matches the Rfam family "Bacterial small subunit ribosomal RNA", at positions 486 to 819 of the family's 1533-position model. The record is from RNAcentral. Lineage: Bacteria; Pseudomonadati; Pseudomonadota; Alphaproteobacteria; Rickettsiales; Anaplasmataceae.
AGAAGUCCUGGCUAACUCCGUGCCAGCAGCCGCGGUAAUACGGAGAGGGCUAGCGUUAUUCGGAAUCAUUGGGCGUAAAGGGCGCGUAGGCUGAUUAGUAAGUUAAAAGUGAAAUCCCAAGGCUCAACCUUGGAAUUGCUUUUAAAACUGCUAAUCUAGAGAUUGAAAGAGGAUAGAGGAAUUCCUAGUGUAGAGGUGAAAUUCGUAAAUAUUAGGAGGAACACCAGUGGCGAAGGCGUCUAUCUGGUUCAAAUCUGACGCUGAGGCGCGAAGGCGUGGGGAGCAAACAGGAUUAGAUACCCUGGUAGUCCACGCUGUAAACGAUAAGUGCUAA